UCUGCAGAAUUUAAACAUAUAACUAAGCGAAGCAAUAAAAAAAAAAAUAACGAAGAUUUCCUUAGUAACGGCGAGUUAAAAAGAAAAAGCUCAGUGCUGAAUCCGAUAUUGGGCUACAUGGAAAUUUAACGUAUAGGUAUAACUAACCGUAUUAUUAACAUUUUUACACCCAAAUUCCCCUUGAGCGAGGCUACAGUCCAUAGAAGGACUAGACCUGUACAGGUGAGAAAAGUUAUGGUAUGGAAUCGGGCUGUUUGAGAUUGCAGCUCAAAGAGGAUGGCAAACCUCAUCUAAGGCUAAAUACGACCACGAGACCGAUAGUAGAUAAGUACCAUGAGGAAAAGUUGCAAAGAACUUUGAAGAGAGAGUCAAGAGGGCGUGAAAAUGAAAUGGGAACGAAUAGAAAUACGAAAAUUAUCGAUAGCAAUCUUAAUUGAUCUAUUGUUCAUUAUCCAGAGCAUUUUAACAAAUUAGUACAAUCAAUUUAGUGGACCAAUUAUUUCAAUUGAUGGGAUCCUAAAUGUGCUGAAAUAUGUCUUAGAAGUUUCCCCAUAUAACUUUCACUUGAAAUAAUAGUGACAUGUAUCGAUAAUUUUACUAGUUAUAUUUACAUGUAAUCGUAUGCGACUUUAUCGGUCAAAGUAAUUGGUAAUAUUAUAAUAUUGUAUGCAACAAAGUUAUGUAUCGAUGUGAACGUUAAUCACCUAUCUGACCCGUCUUGAAACACGG
RNAcentral lists this non-coding RNA (729 nucleotides) under Brugia malayi. Its description in RNAcentral is "Eukaryotic large subunit ribosomal RNA". It matches the Rfam family "Eukaryotic large subunit ribosomal RNA", at positions 24 to 664 of the family's 3401-position model. Lineage: Eukaryota; Metazoa; Nematoda; Chromadorea; Rhabditida; Onchocercidae. The record is from Rfam by way of RNAcentral.